GAAGGAAGGAAGCAAAGGGAAGUCGGAAGGGCGCUCCGGCUUUGCAACCGUGCAACGCCUUUCGCCUUUGCAACCCUGCAGCUCGUUUUCCUUGCAAGCUCGCAGUCGUCCCGCCCUUUGCAAAGCAGCUUUGCAACUCGUCCUCCUUUGCAGGUCGGUGCUCACCGCGAGGACGGCGUCGGGCUGCGCUCUGCUCACUCUCUGGUGCCCAAUCAGGUUGCGGUGCCGCAGCUCCCCGUGCAAUCGGCCACGUCCCCGGAGCUCAACCCGAGCCAGGAUCCUUAUAGGGGUGAGUUGCAACGGGGCUGCUGCGGUUGCAUUGCAUUGUUGCGUUGCAAUGUGGUUGCAUUGCGGUGUGGUUGCAUUGCAUUACAUUGCAUUGCGGUGUGGUUGCAUUGCAUUGUGGUGUGGUUGCAUUGCGUUGCAUUGCGUUGUGGUGUGG
RNAcentral lists this long non-coding RNA (442 nucleotides) under Gallus gallus (chicken). The record is from RNAcentral. Lineage: Eukaryota; Metazoa; Chordata; Aves; Galliformes; Phasianidae.